Molecule: transfer RNA, 76 nt
Filed under: Staphylococcus aureus
Lineage: Bacteria; Bacillati; Bacillota; Bacilli; Caryophanales; Staphylococcaceae
Also listed under: 4 other names
Description: tRNA-Lys
Rfam family: tRNA
About the family: Transfer RNA (tRNA) molecules are approximately 80 nucleotides in length.
Source: RNAcentral
GAGCCAUUAGCUCAGCUGGGAGAGCAUCUGACUUUUAAUCAGAGGGUCAGAGGUUCGAAUCCUCUAUGGCUCACCA